Molecule: ribosomal RNA, 1343 nt
Filed under: uncultured bacterium
Lineage: Bacteria
Description: 16S ribosomal RNA
Rfam family: Bacterial small subunit ribosomal RNA
Source: RNAcentral
GACGAACGCUGGCGGCGUGCUUAACACAUGCAAGUCGAACGGAAAGGCCCUGCUUUUGUGGGGUGCUCGAGUGGCGAACGGGUGAGUAACACGUGAGUAACCUGCCCUUGACUUUGGGAUAACUUCAGGAAACUGGGGCUAAUACCGGAUAGGAGCUCCUGCUGCAUGGUGGGGGUUGGAAAGUUUCGGCGGUUGGGGAUGGACUCGCGGCUUAUCAGCUUGUUGGUGGGGUAGUGGCUUACCAAGGCUUUGACGGGUAGCCGGCCUGAGAGGGUGACCAGCCACAUUGGGACUGAGAUACGGCCCAGACUCCUACGGGAGGCAGCAGUGGGGAAUAUUGCACAAUGGGCGGAAGCCUGAUGCAGCAACGCCGCGUGCGGGAUGACGGCCUUCGGGUUGUAAACCGCUUUCGCCUGUGACGAAGCGUGAGUGACGGUAAUGGGUAAAGAAGCACCGGCUAACUACGUGCCAGCAGCCGCGGUGAUACGUAGGGUGCGAGCGUUGUCCGGAUUUAUUGGGCGUAAAGGGCUCGUAGGUGGUUGAUCGCGUCGGAAGUGUAAUCUUGGGGCUUAACCCUGAGCGUACUUUCGAUACGGGUUGACUUGAGGAAGGUAGGGGAGAAUGGAGUUCCUGGUGGAGCGGUGGAAUGCGCAGAUAUCAGGAGGAACACCAGUGGCGAAGGCGGUUCUCUGGGCCUUUCCUGACGCUGAGGAGCGAAAGCGUGGGGAGCGAACAGGCUUAGAUACCCUGGUAGUCCACGCUGUAAACGGUGGGUACUAGGUGUGGGGUCCAUUCCACGGGUUCCGUGCCGUAGCUAACGCUUUAAGUACCCCGCCUGGGGAGUACGGCCGCAAGGCUAAAACUCAAAGGAAUUGACGGGGCCCCGCACAAGCGGCGGAGCAUGCGGAUUAAUUCGAUGCAACGCGUAGAACCUUACCUGGGUUUGACAUGGAUCGGGAGUGCUCAGAGAUGGGUGUGCCUCUUUUGGGGUCGGUUCACAGGUGGUGCAUGGCUGUCGUCAGCUCGUGUCGUGAGAUGUUGGGUUAAGUCCCGCAACGAGCGCAACCCUUGUUCACUGUUGCCAGCACGUUAUGGUGGGGACUCAGUGGAGACCGCCGGGGUCAACUCGGAGGAAGGUGGGGAUGACGUCAAGUCAUCAUGCCCCUUAUGUCCAGGGCUUCACGCAUGCUACAAUGGCUGGUACAGAGAGUGGCGAGCCUGUGAGGGUGAGCGAAUCUCGGAAAGCCGGUCUCAGUUCGGAUUGGGGUCUGCAACUCGACCUCAUGAAGUCGGAGUCGCUAGUAAUCGCAGAUCAGCAACGCUGCGGUGAAUACGUUCCCGGG